CCUAACACAUGCAAGUCGAACGGUAACAGGAAACAGCUUGCUGUUUCGCUGACGAGUGGCGGACGGGUGAGUAAUGUCUGGGAAACUGCCUGAUGGAGGGGGAUAACUACUGGAAACGGUAGCUAAUACCGCAUAACGUCGCAAGACCAAAGAGGGGGACCCUCGGGCCUCUUGCCAUCGGAUGUGCCCAGAUGGGAUUAGCUUGUUGGUGGGGUAACGGCUCACCAAGGCGACGAUCCCUAGCUGGUCUGAGAGGAUGACCAGCCACACUGGAACUGAGACACGGUCCAGACUCCUACGGGAGGCAGCAGUGGGGAAUAUUGCACAAUGGGCGCAAGCCUGAUGCAGCCAUGCCGCGUGUAUGAAGAAGGCCUUCGGGUUGUAAAGUACUUUCAGCGGGGAGGAAGGGAGUAAAGUUAAUACCUUUGCUCAUUGACGUUACCCGCAGAAGAAGCACCGGCUAACUCCGUG
RNAcentral lists this ribosomal RNA (471 nucleotides) under uncultured bacterium. Its description in RNAcentral is "bacterial SSU rRNA". It matches the Rfam family "Bacterial small subunit ribosomal RNA", at positions 47 to 507 of the family's 1533-position model. The record is from RNAcentral.